Molecule: ribosomal RNA, 605 nt
Filed under: uncultured Chroococcales cyanobacterium
Lineage: Bacteria; Bacillati; Cyanobacteriota; Cyanophyceae; Chroococcales
Description: bacterial SSU rRNA
Rfam family: Bacterial small subunit ribosomal RNA
Source: RNAcentral
GGAAACUGCUGCUAAUACCCAAUAUGCCCUUCGGGGUGAAAGAUUUAUCGCCAGAAAAUGAGCUCGCGGCCGAUUAGUUAGUUGGUGGAGUAAAAGCCUACCAAGACAGCGAUCGGUAGCUGGUCUGAGAGGAUGAGCAGCCACACUGGGACUGAGACACGGCCCAGACUCCUACGGGAGGCAGCAGUGGGGAAUUUUCCGCAAUGGGCGCAAGCCUGACGGAGCAAGACCGCGUGGGGGAGGAAGGCUCUUGGGUUGUAAACCCCUUUUCUCAAGGAAGAACACAAUGACGGUACUUGAGGAAUCAGCCUCGGCUAACUCCGUGCCAGCAGCCGCGGUAAUACGGAGGAGGCAAGCGUUAUCCGGAAUUAUUGGGCGUAAAGGGUCCGCAGGUGGUGGGGCAAGUCGGCGGUUAAAGACUGGAGCUUAACUCCAGAAAAGCCGUGGAAACUGCACCACUAGAGGGCAGUAGGGGUAGAGGGAAUUCCCGGUGUAGCGGUGAAAUGCGUAGAGAUCGGGAAGAACACCAGUGGCGAAAGCGCUCUACUGGACUGCCACUGACACUGAGGGACGAAAGCUAGGGGAGCGAAUGGGAUUAGAUACCC